Molecule: unclassified non-coding RNA, 246 nt
Filed under: Hevea brasiliensis (rubber tree)
Lineage: Eukaryota; Viridiplantae; Streptophyta; Magnoliopsida; Malpighiales; Euphorbiaceae
Source: RNAcentral
GAGAGAGAGAGAGAGAGGGUUAUUCCCUGAAGUCGUCGCCACGGGCAGCAGCAACAACAAAAUUACCCAAGCCGAGCGUUCCACAAGAUGGGUCAGAGCCGAAUUCGUUUAAUCUGGUACUGGCUGGGUACUUAGCGCACGAGUACCUAACUAAAGGGACGAUCUAUGGUCAACAAUGGGACCCAGCUGGAGCCGAAGAGGAGCGGAGUGAGGAUGGCGAACAAGAAGCCGAGCCGAAUAAGGAAA